CGAGAAUCAUUCACAAUGGGCGAAAGCCUGAUGGUGCGACGCCGCGUGGAGGAUGACAGCCCUAGGGUUGUAAACUCCUGUCAUGAGAGAGUAAAGACUUAACGUUAAUACCGUUGGGUCCUGAUAGUAUCUCAAGAGGAAGGGACGGCUAACUUCGUGCCAGCAGCCGCGGUAAUACGAAGGUCCCAAGCGUUGUUCGGAAUUACUGGGCGUAAAGCGUGCGUAGGCGGCAUGGUAAGUCAGAUGUGAAAUCCCGGGGCUCAACCUCGGAACUGCAUCCGAUACUGCCAAGCUAGAGUAGUGGAGGGGAGUCUGGAAUUCACGGUGUAGCAGUGAAAUGCGUAGAUAUCGUGAGGAACACUAGUGGCGAAGGCGAGACUCUGGACACUAACUGACGCUGAGGCACGAAGGCUAGGGUAGCGAAAGGG
This 428-nucleotide ribosomal RNA is filed under the name uncultured bacterium. RNAcentral's name for it is "bacterial SSU rRNA". It matches the Rfam family "Bacterial small subunit ribosomal RNA", at positions 356 to 776 of the family's 1533-position model. The record is from RNAcentral.